AGGCUCUUGUCAUGAGCUUCCAAGGCUAUGGAAGUCUCUUGAGUUCACCAACUCUGAUCUUAUUUAGAUAAGGCCAUAGUCAAAGUGAAAGUUCUUUCCUCCCUUCAGAGAAAGGAACAUAUAGAGAAGAACUCUUGUUGCUUUCUGGUUCACUUUUGAUGAAGCCACCUGGGAGAAUGGCACUGAAGUGAUGAAUGGGUGAAUUGGAAGACGAUAAGAAGGUUACCUAUGUGGGAGGCGACAGGCAGCAGAAAUGAAGAGGUGUGCCAGUGAAAAAAAGGAAGACUUGGGAAAUUCAUUCAGGUGUCAGGUGCUCUGCUGAUGCUCGUCUUACUUGUUCAAUGUGCAAAGGAAAGAUGACAGUCGGAGCCCUUCACCGAGGAGAAUGUAAGGAUUAACUCUACCUAUAUGUCUCCUCUGGGCCACAUGGAGACUUUUUCUUUUUUUAGUUGGGAGCAGCACAUACCUGUUGGCUCCAUUAAAACUGAGGAGAGAGCAACCAUGGUAAGUGCUCUCUGCAUUUGCUAACAUAAUUAGUCAAUACUUGGGCCUCAUCACCAGGUAUUAAAAAUUUAUCAUCACAUAUUUUAUACUCAGAGAAGUUAAUUCCUUUAGGAUAUCUUCUGGGCCUAUGAGCCUUCGCUGAGAACUGCUCAGCAAGCCCUGGCAGCCAUGUUGUUAUUCUGUGACCCUGUUAGGUGAUUUCGUAGACACCUGACCGGACAGUCUCUCACCUGGCAGGCCGCUGGUCUGUUGGUUGUUUGAAUUUAAGUCAAACUUGGCAGCUGGGGUGCUAUUGUCUGCCAAGUUCAUAGUGGGGGGGUGGGCAGAGGAGCAGUCUGCUGAGACAGAAUGGAGCAGAUAUACAAGGUGAUGAGGUAGAAGCAAAUCACAAGUAAGGCACAUGUGUGAGAAUGAGCAGGCCAACACCUUAGGUUCCUGGAAGCUUUUAGUGUGGUUCUGUCAAUUUCCGAGAUCUCACUGCUGUGAGAUCACCUCUGCCCCUGCCUGGCCUGUUUCUGAUACUAGGAGCAGAGACACAUGUUUAUGGGUAGAGGAUGCCCUUGGGAAUGUGGGGAGAAGCCUGGGAUGACAACCUCUUGUCUUCUUGUGUCUUGCUCUUGGUCUCUUCAGAGAAAACCCUUUACCCAGAAAAGGGAAGGUCAUGGCCACAGCUCCCAUGGGUCCUCCUCAAAAUUCGAAGCAGGAGAGGAUCCCUCCAGCCCAGUGAUUCUUCCAACUUCACAAUUACACGAAAUUACCAAUAAAAAGCCUUCCUGCCAUGAAACAGUGUGAACUUAUCUACCUCCUGAGCAUAUUUACAAUCAACAGCUUUAGAGUAUCAAUUAGAUUCUCUGCACAUGACUUCAGCCUCUCUUUUAAACACCCACACUUUAUGACUUUGUGCACUCAGAGCAACAACAGAAAUUAUCCUUUAAUUAAACAAACCAACCCUAUACCUUUCUCAAGUAUUUGUGCACAUACACUCACCUCAGGUGGAGAAGCGUCUCAUGGGGUUUGCACUUCAUCCAAUAAAAGUCAUCUAUUCAGCUCAUUCUUAAUAUCCUUAAUAAUAGUAAUAACAAUCUCUUCAUAUGUUCAUAUAUUUUCUGGCUACAAAGUAUUUUCUUUAUCUACCUUAACAGCUCCUACAAGGUAGAGUUACCAGAGACCAUUCACUCCACUUUAUUUUUAUUUAUCAAUGAUACCUUCCAUUUAUAGGGAGGCAUUCUGUUAGCCACUCUUCAACAGGAUCAUCUUCUUAAUUUUAUUUAACUUGCAAUUUCUGGUCUUCUUCACUAGGCAAAUUUUUUAUUAAAAAUCCUUUUCCUCAUAGUAAGUCUUCGGUGUACUGAUAAUCUAUUAAUCCAUGAUUCACUUAAAAAUAUUUAUGUGGAAGGCAGAGCGACAGAGGUAUACUCUGUCAGCCCCCAGACGCCAACAACUGCCUACAGCUGGCUAGGCCGAACUUGGGAACUCGAUUCACGUCUCCCACAUGGGUGGUCUGAGCCCAAUCACUUGAACCAUUACUGUUGCCUCCUAGGAUACGCAGUGGCAGGAAGCUGGAGUCAGAAGUUAAGAGAAUGGGAUUGAACCGAGGCAUUCUGAACUGGGACGUGUCUUUAUUGAUAUCUUAAAUGCUAGGCCAAAUAAACUGCCUCCUCCCCAACAUUUAAUUCAUUUAACAAACUUUAAUUAACUGCUUUUUAUUACGUUUACAUUAUGUGGGAUAUUUUUCCUAUUUUAACUGAUAAGUUCUUACAACAAAUCUCUCAGAGAAAUGUGACAAUUCCCUUUUUAUAGAAGAAAACAACUCUCAGAGAUUGCUCUGCUCCAAAUUACCAAGUGAUGAGGAAUGCCAGAGUUGAAUUUAAACUAUCUGAUUUCAAAUCUGGGCUCUUUCCAUUGCAUUAAAACAAAACAAAGCAAAACAAAAACUAGAACCAGGAGUGAAUCACUACUGCCUGGAAUAGUUCUUGUGGAACUUAAACAGCUUUCUCUGUAGUCCUCUUUGCAUGUGCCACAGGGCUUCCUCAUUCUUAUUAAAUGAGUGGUGAGUCACUCCCUGGGAAAAGCUAGAGGAGGUACUGUGGGCCACCUUUAUUAUCUCUGCAGAAAUGGAGGAGUGGGCUAAAGAGGGUGUGGACAUAGAGCUGUGUGUCCAGAGACAGGGCUCAAGAAUGCUCCUUGCUGGGAAAGGUGGGAGUGGGUGAGGAGAGGAAAUGGGGAAAGAUGGCCAGGUGGUGAGAAAAAUAUGGAAGAGUAAGACCAGGAUGGAGUGAAGUGCCUUGAAGCAUGCAGGCUAGUGACUGACAGUGAGUCAGCAUAAAGCAAGGAGUAAGACUCAGGGUGAUGAGGGUUAGGUCAGGCUAGCAAUUUCCGUCGUGGUUUCAUUGGGGGCUAGAAAUAAAAACCUCAUCAUUAACCAAACACAACACUAACAUGAAGAGGUGAAAUAAUUUAUUCUUAAAUAACAGGCUGACCUAUUCAGGAUUGUAAUUUUAAUGUAAGACUAACCUUUGAAAAUAGAUCAAGUGAUAUAAAUUAUUAAGGAGAAGACAUUCAUCAGAUAGAUGGUGUCUAUUAGUAAUUUUAUGCAUGAAGAGUUUCCUUCUGAAGUACAGUUGCAGCUGCCACCGCACAGAAAAAAAUGAAGAUCCCAGUUACCCUUUCGUGACAUGUUCGGCUGAUUUUAAUCAGUAUUGCUCCUGUCAAAUGAAAUGAAAAGACUGAAAUAUGAUCUCUCCUGUGGAUGUACACUCACAGCCUCCCACCUCCUUCUAUGCAGCUGCACUGGGAGUCUUGCUGGUGCUGAGGAAAUGGAGACACACAUUGCAAGCCGUUUUUUUUCCUUUCUAUGAGGGGUGCAUAUAGCAAACAGCUGGUCCAAACACAAAAUAUUUACUGAGAAUCUUGUGACCAGUACUGGGCUAAGUGUUAUGUGGGGGGACAGAGAAGGGCACAAAAGUUGAAGACAGCUCUUCUCCUAAGGAGUUUAAUGUCAAGACCAGAGAGAGAUUUGAAUUAAGUAGAACCUUGCAGUUCUUACAGCUAGAUGAGUCUGUGCAGCUUGCUAAGUCUCCUUGAGCCUCAGUGGCCUUGCUUUUUGAGGAGUCAUGGGAUGAUGUCUGGAAAGGACAUUUUAUCGUGCUUGGCAUUCAGGAAUGCAUAGAAUCAUAUAAAAUAGCUAAUGGUUAUUACUAUUUUAUUUUCACUUCUGACUGAAUUUGGGGUGUGGAUGCUUUUUUUUUUUUUUAAUAAAAAACCACACAGGAUCUUUCCUUUAAAUAUUUACAGUUCAUGCUUUGUGUAAUUUAAAAAUUUUCUUUUCAUUUGAAAGAGAGAUCUUUCACUUGCUAGUUUAUUCCUCAAAUGCCAACCAUAAUCAGGGUUGUACCAAGCUAAGCCAGAAGUCUGGGAUUCAACCUGAGUCUCCUACAGGAGUGGCAGGGACCUCAGUCAUUAUCUGCUGCCUCCGGAGAUGCACAUUCAUGGAAAGCUGGGUGGGAAGUGGAGGCGUUGGGACUUGAACCAGGCACUCGGAUAUGGGAUGCAGGCAUCCCAAAUGUUGUCUAAACUACUGAGCCAAAUGUUCACUCCAGGGUUCACCUCUUUGAGGAAGCUGCAAGCAGAUGGUAAAUAAUGCAGGCUGUAGAGAAAGACGUCGUAGAGUAAAUGGCGUGGGGAGCCAUCAGAGGAUUAGUGCUUGGAGAGGGAGUGUUUCUGCUGGCUGUAGGCAGUAGGAGGCCCCCACAGCAAGGGCAACUUAGGAGGUUCCUUGGCAAUUGGUCCUGUAGGGGUGGUUACCCUGGUGGAGGCCAGGAAGUUAGUGGGUGCUGCUGUGGCUCCCACAGGGCCCUAGGUGCUGGGAGAAGAUGGGUGUCUUAAUCGAAGUGGUGAUCCCUCUCAAUGAUGAAGACUUACACCUCUGGGUUCUUCCUUUUAAUGCCAGGCUCCACUGCCCUCCCGCGCACCGUACCCCUCUCUUCCCUCUUUUCUCAAUCCACCCAGUCCUUAUUUAGAGGAUCACUAGGUGCAGCAAUUUCUCUUUGAAAUGUUUUAGGGCACAAACUUUGUUUCAAGUAUUUCAGACCUUAGAUGUUUAAAUCUCAAAAAGCCUGGCUCUUAAGACACAAAAGCUAUGCCAUGAAAACUCAGAAUCAGUUAUUUAGCUUUUCUGCUCUAUAAGCCGUUUCCUGAGGCAAGAGUACUUUGGAAUGAAUGGUGGUAGUGGUGGGAUGUGAAGAGUUUGGGGGGUACUCUCUGCACUUCAAAAUGAUCCUGCAAAACUGUUGUCUCCUCCUCCUGCUCUGCCUUCUUCCCCUCCUCUUCAUGAUAAUGAUGAUGAUGUUGUUAUUGAUGCCUGCUUUACAAAACCAGUGAGCAAGUUUGGAAUGUUAAUACCAGGUCAGUUGACUAUCCCAGGAAAGAGAUGUUGAACUUGGGUCAGGAGCAGCUGCCAACUCCUGUGAAAAUAAAGGGGGAGGACAGAUGAGUCAGGGAAAGGCUCUCAGAUGAAGGCGCUAGCAGAAGAAAAGGGGAAAGAGAACAGGAUUUGGGAGAGUGACAAGCACAGAACAUGGAGCAUGUCUCACUAUUAGGAGGCGCUCCAGACCAGUGAUUUCCCAUCAGAGGCAACUUGCGUGGAGCAGAAAUGAUGGACCCUAGUAACCAUGCUGUGUUUUGCUGCUGGCUGGGGGCUGCCUAGAAAAAAGACUGUCUUGGCUCAAAAGCUCAAAUGGACCUUGCAAGUGUUACAGCUGCAGGCUGUCAACCAACUGCUUACCUAGUAGCUGCAAGAAAGUGUUUUCUCAACAGAGGAUCCAUGUGGCAUACCUCCUUUGGUAGCAUAUGAAGCCACGGCCAUGUAAUUAUCAUGGAAAGAAGGGUCUCAGAGCUGGGGCUGGAACCGAGUCCUGAUUACUGAUUACCACUUUACCUUGAAAUUCACAGGAGAAUCAAAGACUACCACCAGAUGGCAUAUAAGGAAGCGUUAAAUCUCACUGUGUAGACAGAGAGAGGUGCUGAGUUUCACAGUUGUGAGAGAUCUUCUGGAUGACUUAAUCAGAUACAGUCUCCUUUGUAGGAUAGGCCACCUGGAGUCCAACAAACUCAGUAAAAAAGGAGUCACAGCACCUGUAGCUACCAUGGUUAAAUUUGCCUGACUUCUCUGACCAUACCACAUCCCAUGCCAUGCUAUCUACCUUAGGCGUUUCAGUCUUACACUGUCUAGUCAAAAACAAAGAUCUUUGGUCAAAAAGAUGCUGUUAAAUCCUUAGAUUUGCUAAAAUUAUUCAUGAGUGGAAAAUCUCUGGGAGAUAAAGCAUGCUAUUUCCCUAAUCAUUUGGCCAAAGUCCAAGUGAUAGUGCAUAGUCUUGGAGGAAGAACAGCUAUGAUUUAAUAUGCGGCUAAGGCAAGCGUUUCUACAAGGUCUUCUUAGGGGCAGUGAGGAAAAGUUACGAUGGAAAGGAGCAGGGCUUGGCAGCAUGGCUGGAGUUUCAGUCUCACCUGCCAGCCUGUUAGCACCCACAAAUUUCACAUGAGUAAAACUGAGGCCAAGUCAUAUGCCAGCAAGCAAUGUCCAGGUACCUUCACAUCAAUAAGUUAUGAUAAAAUUAAUGAUAAUGACAGAAUUAAAAAAAACACAAAGAACAAGCCAAAAAAUGUGUCUCACCCCAGACAAUCAACAAUACAAAAAUACAAAAUACAAACCAAGAAAGUACUGCUGCUGAUUGCCAGCAUUUUCUGGGAUGCUUUCCAGUGUGGCUUUUUGUUACAAGGGAGGGCCUUACUGCCCUCUGAGUUACACCCAAGUUUAAACCUCAUCAUUAGUAAUGCUAAUAAAAAAAUAAUAGUGGUUUAUAUUUAUUUUCUCUUAAUACAGAGGAAUCAACUGUACUAAGUCUAUUUGGUCUCCUUUCACUUUUGCAAUAGCCCUAAGAGUAGGCAGCAUUUAUUCACUUGGAGAUGAAGAAAUGAGGCUAGUACAGUUAGGUAACCAGUUCAAGGUUGCAUCUAUAUUAAAUUACAAGGUUGAUGUGUAGAUUUAACUCUUUCAGAAUCCAAAGCCCAUGCUUUUCUUCAUUAUACACCCUCUUUACUAUUAAUUGAAUCCAACCCAAAACAUAAAGUCUUUUCAUGUCAUUUUUUAUUUUAUUUUAUUUUUUUAUUUUUUGACAGGCAGAGUGGACAGUGAGAGAGAGAGACAGAGAGAAAGGUCUUCCUUUGCCGUUGGUUCACCCUCCAAUGGCCGCCGCGGCCGGCGCACCGCGCUGAUCCGAUGGCAGGAGCCAGGUACUUAUCCUGGUCUCCCAUGGGGUGCAGGGCCCAAGUACUUGGGCCAUCCUCCACUGCACUCCCUGGCCACAGCAGAGAGCUGGCCUGGAAGAGGGGCA
This is a non-coding RNA of Oryctolagus cuniculus (rabbit), 6896 nucleotides long. Lineage: Eukaryota; Metazoa; Chordata; Mammalia; Lagomorpha; Leporidae. The record is from RefSeq and is a predicted model, not a curated record.